This 253-nucleotide ribosomal RNA is filed under the name uncultured bacterium. RNAcentral's name for it is "partial 16S ribosomal RNA". It matches the Rfam family "Bacterial small subunit ribosomal RNA", at positions 524 to 776 of the family's 1533-position model. The record is from RNAcentral.
GACGUAGGGCGCGAGCGUUGUCCGGAUUUAUUGGGCGUAAAGAGCGCGCAGGCGGUCGUUCAAGUCGCGUGUGAAAGCCCCCGGCUCAACUGGGGAGGGUCACGCGAUACUGAUCGACUCGAAGGCAGGAGAGGGUAGUGGAAUUCCCGGUGUAGUGGUGAAAUGCGUAGAUAUCGGGAGGAACACCAGUGGCGAAGGCGACUACCUGGCCUGUUCUUGACGCUGAGGCGCGAAAGCUAGGGGAGCAAACGGG